Molecule: long non-coding RNA, 415 nt
Filed under: Callithrix jacchus (white-tufted-ear marmoset)
Lineage: Eukaryota; Metazoa; Chordata; Mammalia; Primates; Cebidae
Description: lncRNA (ENSCJAG00000070031.1)
Source: RNAcentral
AAGCCAGCAGUAACAGGUCUCACCCAGUUCCCAGGAAGCCCAAAAGGCCUGUCUCACUCCUACUGUGAUCCCCCUCAACAGCACAGAGUUUGUUUCCAGGCAGCUGGUGAACAGUGCUGAGACCUUUCCUCAGGCUAUAAGCCUCCCCACUGAGAAUGCAAGGAGGACUUCCAGGUUUCACGCCUCCCCAUCAGCAAAGGUUUUCUCCACAAGGACACGUGCAAGGCUAAGUCAGGAAUGGAUUCCUGGAACCAAGAGUGUCCACAGGGCUCUUGCUGCUGCUUCCUCUACCACUGUAUUUUAUAUAGGUUCUGAGGUGCAUGUGCAGAACAUUCAGGACUGCUGCAUAGUAAAGGAACUACUGUAUGAGGAGCUCAAACAGCCCUCCGAAGAGAAACACAUGUCAAGGAACUGA